UGCCAGCAGCCGCGGUAAUACGGGAGGGGCAAGCGUUAUCCGAAAUAACUGGGCGUAAAGGGUUCGUAGACUGUAUUGAAAGUUAAAAGCGAAAUUCUAAAGCCUAACUUUAGAUCAGCAUUUAAAACUACUUUACUUGAGUUUAAAAGAGAAUAGCGGAAUUUCAUAUGGAGAGAUAAAAUUCUAAGAUAUAUUGAAGGAACACCAGCAGCGAAGGCGGCUAUUUUGUUUAAUUACUGACGUUGAGGAACGAAAGCAUGGGUAGCAAACAGGAUUAGAUA
Molecule: ribosomal RNA, 281 nt
Filed under: uncultured bacterium
Lineage: Bacteria
Description: partial 16S ribosomal RNA
Rfam family: Bacterial small subunit ribosomal RNA
Source: RNAcentral